This 228-nucleotide long non-coding RNA is filed under the name Theobroma cacao (cacao). RNAcentral describes it as "long non-coding RNA (TCAC_LNC002075)". Lineage: Eukaryota; Viridiplantae; Streptophyta; Magnoliopsida; Malvales; Malvaceae. The record is from RNAcentral.
UUCUUUUUCCUCUUUCUUUCUUUCUCCUUCUCUUUCUCUCUUUUCUCUCUACCGGCGUCUCACCCUUCUCAUUUUCUCUCUUCCUUUUCUUCUUUUUUUCUUUUUGCUCUAUUUUUUUGUGUUUUAUUGUGGCUUUUUUGGGUUAAUUGUUGUGUUUUUUUUUUUGUGUUUCAGUUUUUUUGGUGGAUGGUUUUUUUUUGCCAAGAGAUGAAUCAGUUUUUUUUUUUU